RNAcentral lists this transfer RNA (70 nucleotides) under Pelobatrachus stejnegeri. RNAcentral describes it as "Megophrys stejnegeri tRNA-Val". The record is from RNAcentral. Lineage: Eukaryota; Metazoa; Chordata; Amphibia; Anura; Megophryidae.
AACAAAAUGUAGCUUAAAUAAAAGUCUUUCGCUUACACCGAAAUAAUGUCUCAUAGCUGGGGACCAUUUU